Molecule: ribosomal RNA, 115 nt
Filed under: Aquipseudomonas alcaligenes
Lineage: Bacteria; Pseudomonadati; Pseudomonadota; Gammaproteobacteria; Pseudomonadales; Pseudomonadaceae
Also listed under: 2 other names
Source: RNAcentral
UGACGACCAUAGAGCGUUGGAACCACCUGAUCCCAUCCCGAACUCAGUAGUGAAACGACGCAUCGCCGAUGGUAGUGUGGGGCUUCCCCAUGUGAGAGUAGGUCAUCGUCAAGCU